ACGCACGCUGGCGGCGUGCCUAAUACAUGCCAGUCGAACGAACCGCGACUAGGUGCUUGCACUUGGUCAAGGUGAGUGGCGAACGGGUGAGUAACACGUGGGUAACCUACCUCAUAGUGGGGGAUAACAGUCGGAAACGACUGCUAAUACCGCAUAGGACAUAGGAUCACAUGAUCCAGUGAGGAAAGGUGGCGCAAGCUAUCGCUAAGAGAUGGACCCGCGGUGCAUUAGCUAGUUGGUAGGGUAAAGGCCUACCAAGGCGAUGAUGCAUAGCCGACCUGAGAGGGUGAUCGGCCACAUUGGGACUGAGACACGGCCCAAACUCCUACGGGAGGCAGCAGUAGGGAAUCUUCCGCAAUGGACGCAAGUCUGACGGAGCAACGCCGCGUGAGUGAAGAAGGUCUUCGGAUCGUAAAGCUCUGUUGUUAGAGAAGAACAGCGCAUAGAGUAACUGUUAUGCGUGUGACGGUAUCUAACCAGAAAGCCACGGCUAACUACGUG
This 501-nucleotide ribosomal RNA is filed under the name uncultured bacterium. RNAcentral describes it as "partial 16S ribosomal RNA". It matches the Rfam family "Bacterial small subunit ribosomal RNA", at positions 29 to 507 of the family's 1533-position model. The record is from RNAcentral.